CCCAGCACCGAGUACAGGAACAUGCGGUUCCGGAGAAAACCGAUCUCAACUAUCAGCUUGGUCUGCAGGAGGGGGAGGACACCUUGUCGGCUCAGCGCUUCCCACUGAGAACAGCCCGGGGUCCUGAAGGGCCGGGAGGGAGCAUAGCUGGGGGCUCACCUGAGAGCGGCAGGUCAAGGCGUUGAAGAGGUCAAAGAACACAAAGCAGGUGACCUUGCAUCCUGGGAGGUGACUUUGCUACAGCCACACCCACGGAGCAGAAGGUCCCUUCCCAGAAGAAGGGAGGGGAUGGAGACCCUCCCCGGCUCUGGUGUGGCUGCUCGGAAGGGAGGCAGAGCUCACUUCCCUCGACACCUCUGGGUCGGGCCUGGAGCCGCAGGUCCCGGAGCGGAGGAGGCUGCUGUUGGGUCCCUGUGCUCAGGACCGCUGUGCGAGUCCUGGAGGGCCUGGGUCCCCUUCCCCACCAGGGGUGCACACAGGCUGCAUGAGGUAGACAAUCCCCACCUUCCCUGGCAGGUGAGAAUUUGGGGAAAAACAAGGCCAUUCCUCUAGCGGGGGAGGCUCAGAAAA
Long non-coding RNA from Enhydra lutris kenyoni (northern sea otter), 570 nucleotides. RefSeq lists it as uncharacterized. The record is from RefSeq and is a predicted model, not a curated record. Lineage: Eukaryota; Metazoa; Chordata; Mammalia; Carnivora; Mustelidae. The transcript is spliced from 3 exons.